RNAcentral lists this ribosomal RNA (1511 nucleotides) under Lactiplantibacillus pentosus. Its description in RNAcentral is "bacterial SSU rRNA". It matches the Rfam family "Bacterial small subunit ribosomal RNA". Lineage: Bacteria; Bacillati; Bacillota; Bacilli; Lactobacillales; Lactobacillaceae. The record is from RNAcentral.
GUGGCGUGGGGCGUGCUAUAAUGCAGUCGACGAACUCUGGUAUUGAUUGGUGCUUGCAUCAUGAUUUACAUUUGAGUGAGUGGCGAACUGGUGAGUAACACGUGGGAAACCUGCCCAGAAGCGGGGGAUAACACCUGGAAACAGAUGCUAAUACCGCAUAACAACUUGGACCGCAUGGUCCGAGUUUGAAAGAUGGCUUCGGCUAUCACUUUUGGAUGGUCCCGCGGCGUAUUAGCUAGAUGGUGGGGUAACGGCUCACCAUGGCAAUGAUACGUAGCCGACCUGAGAGGGUAAUCGGCCACAUUGGGACUGAGACACGGCCCAAACUCCUACGGGAGGCAGCAGUAGGGAAUCUUCCACAAUGGACGAAAGUCUGAUGGAGCAACGCCGCGUGAGUGAAGAAGGGUUUCGGCUCGUAAAACUCUGUUGUUAAAGAAGAACAUAUCUGAGAGUAACUGUUCAGGUAUUGACGGUAUUUAACCAGAAAGCCACGGCUAACUACGUGCCAGCAGCCGCGGUAAUACGUAGGUGGCAAGCGUUGUCCGGAUUUAUUGGGCGUAAAGCGAGCGCAGGCGGUUUUUUAAGUCUGAUGUGAAAGCCUUCGGCUCAACCGAAGAAGUGCAUCGGAAACUGGGAAACUUGAGUGCAGAAGAGGACAGUGGAACUCCAUGUGUAGCGGUGAAAUGCGUAGAUAUAUGGAAGAACACCAGUGGCGAAGGCGGCUGUCUGGUCUGUAACUGACGCUGAGGCUCGAAAGUAUGGGUAGCAAACAGGAUUAGAUACCCUGGUAGUCCAUACCGUAAACGAUGAAUGCUAAGUGUUGGAGUGUUGGAGGGUUUCCGCCCUUCAGUGCUGCAGCUAACGCAUUAAGCAUUCCGCCUGGGGAGUACGGCCGCAAGGCUGAAACUCAAAGGAAUUGACGGGGGCCCGCACAAGCGGUGGAGCAUGUGGUUUAAUUCGAAGCUACGCGAAGAACCUUACCAGGUCUUGACAUACUAUGCAAAUCUAAGAGAUUAGACGUUCCCUUCGGGGACAUGGAUACAGGUGGUGCAUGGUUGUCGUCAGCUCGUGUCGUGAGAUGUUGGGUUAAGUCCCGCAACGAGCGCAACCCUUAUUAUCAGUUGCCAGCAUUAAGUUGGGCACUCUGGUGAGACUGCCGGUGACAAACCGGAGGAAGGUGGGGAUGACGUCAAAUCAUCAUGCCCCUUAUGACCUGGGCUACACACGUGCUACAAUGGAUGGUACAACGAGUUGCGAACUCGCGAGAGUAAGCUAAUCUCUUAAAGCCAUUCUCAGUUCGGAUUGUAGGCUGCAACUCGCCUACAUGAAGUCGGAAUCGCUAGUAAUCGCGGAUCAGCAUGCCGCGGUGAAUACGUUCCCGGGCCUUGUACACACCGCCCGUCACACCAUGAGAGUUUGUAACACCCAAAGUCGGUGGGGUAACCUUUUAGGAACCAGCCGCCUAAGGUGGGACAGAUGAUUAGGGUGAAGUCGUAACAAGAGCUUGCCAC